Molecule: microRNA, 22 nt
Filed under: Eisenia fetida (common brandling worm)
Lineage: Eukaryota; Metazoa; Annelida; Clitellata; Crassiclitellata; Lumbricidae
Description: Efe-Mir-1-P11_5p* (star (passenger))
Source: RNAcentral
CCGUACUUCUUUCCGCUCCGUA